UCACCCCUCAAGCUUCCCGGCUUGGUGUUGGACGGUUUAGCCUUGGUGACGAGGCCCGUUUUAAAGUCAAUGACGGCGGCCUGUUCGACCCCCGGUACACCGAGCUUCUUAACUGAGCACGUAUCGGUUGAAGGGUAGGCAGGACCCGGUCUUCUUUCCUUAACCGGAAACUCUUUCCAAGG
RNAcentral lists this unclassified non-coding RNA (182 nucleotides) under uncultured Herpotrichiellaceae. RNAcentral describes it as "sequence contains ITS2". Lineage: Eukaryota; Fungi; Ascomycota; Eurotiomycetes; Chaetothyriales; Herpotrichiellaceae. The record is from RNAcentral.